ACUCUUGAGGAUACUUUCUUGCCACUGUCAGGCUUACUCCUGCCUCCUAGACUGAGGAAAGAAAAGCCUCCUGGUUUGGAGCUCAUAAUCAAGUCAGCCUUGCUGCAGGGCUCAUUUUAAGCCAGUAUCCUGGACCAGAUAAGGAAGCUGAAGCUUUGAGAAUUUAAUUUGCUCAAGGGGAGGCCAGGACAAGAAAUAAUGAAGAGUCCGAUGUGGCAGGAAUGUAGGAAACAAGUCAAUGAUGGAAGAUAAAUAUGGAGACGUGAUGAAGGCAAAAUUCUGAAGGGUCUUAGAGCCCAUUAUAAGACGUUUGGUUUUUAUGACUAUGCCGUGCAAGACUUGGUAAACUGGUCCCUACCGCAGAGGAUUUUAUACAGAGCACGCUAGUGGCUCACAGGUAGUGUCUUAUUGAAUGUUGAAUUUCCACACUUUUGACUGCAUGAAUCAGUAAAUACUUGGGUUUAUUUUGCCACAUAGAGGUCUACAUUGGUUUGAUACAAGUAAAUAGCAAUAAUGAUAAGAGUCACUGCCAUUAAUGGAGUGUCUCCUUGAUACCAGACACUGUCUCAGAUAACUUGAAUUAACUCUUUAAACCCACAUGGCCCUGGUCCUGAAAGGUGGUAUUAUUCAUUUUUAUAGAUGAGGAAACUGAGACACAGGCAACACUACUUCAACAUUGGCCCCAAACCAUUUUUAUUUGCCCUGAGUAAUUUGCUAGUUCUCCUCUUUCAGUAUGCCAGUCUUCUCUAUCCAUUGGUCUAUAGUUGGUUGCAAUUCGUCUUUGUCACCUGUUCCUGACACUGACCAAUUACUGACCAUAUCUCCCUAUUCUCUGCCAUGUGAUAACCUUUGGUUCUCCCAAAUAAACUCUUUCCUUAUCUCUACUCUAUUGAAACCAACCACCCCUCUCUCCACACAGAAUAUUUCACUGAUUGCCUUGCCCGCUUCUCAAAGGCCCACUUCUCUGUGGAAUGAUGCAGUUGCUAAGAAGAGCUGUUAAUGUCAUGACCUCAAUGAAUAAAAAAGACUUCCUUUUCUCCAUGCCCACUCAAGUAAAAGGCUUCUCUCUGAACUCCUGCUAAUUUUUCAUCAGCAAAGGUGCACAGCCUUUUGGAAGUGAAAUGAUUACUAGUGAAGAAAAAGAAAGAACCUAACACUUAUUUUACAGUAAGUAGCAAGUUGAUCUCCAUUAGGGUCAACCCUCUGGGGUGCUCUGGCCCUUCCCUUUAUGUUCUGAGACAGAUACAUCCCUGAGAAAAUUCUAGUCUCUUCUAAUCCUGGAAUAAUUUAGGGAAGCAAGUCUUGAACUUCUUCCAUCAAAGCCCAAGAAGUAACCAUAAAAGAUGUCUUAAGGGUUCUAGAAACACAUCACCAAGGGGAUUGGAUAAAAAUGUGAAAUUUGUUUAAAACCUGAAAUGUUCACUUUUAAAAAGCAUGCAAAUUGUGACUACCCUUCCACAAUGUAUUUGUUUUACUGCAAAAAUAAUUUAAAUGUCUUUCAGAUUAAAUUAUGAAAAUAUUUACCUCCAAAUUUUGGCAUGAAGUUAAAACUCCUGGAUAAUGUGCUAUGUUUAUUCUGUGGGUUUUUAUAUCCCUGGCACACUGCCAUGUAUCUUGCCGAAUAGCCAAAUAUUAGGAUAUUAUACUACCCUGAUGAUUUUGCUAAAUAAUUAUUAUGCCAAACAAGACAGUAAUUCAAAGAAGGACAAGUGUCUGAACUCUUGUUCUUUCAGAAAGCUUAAGAGUAGUAGUGAGUGCAUCUGCUGCGUGACUCCUGCAAUCUCAGCAUCUGUUUCUAGUUAGAGAGCCAGUGAGUAAAUUGAAUCAGGGUCACUGAAGCAGGUGUUCUUGGUGAAUUGCAGAGCCUCCCAGUGACCACUCUUCAGACAAAACUUCUUAUAAUAGCUUCCUUCCCUGAAUCUUUUGCGAAACAUCAAAUCACAAAGAGAUCUUAUUGUGAGUAUUACCUAAAAUUUUUUCCUGUCUUAUGUAGCAAAGAGGGAAGUCACUGAGUCAGCUUAGAUAUGUGUAUGUGUUCUAAAAAAAAUGAAUGUAUCCAUGUGACUUUUUUUUCUUUUUUUUUUUUUUUUGAGAUGGAGUUUUGCUCUGUCACCCAGGCUGGAGUGCAGUGGCGUGAUCUCUGCUCACUGCAACCUCCACCUCCUGGGUUCAAGUGAUUCUCCUGCCUCAGCUUCCCGAGUAGCCUGCCACCACACGUGGUUAAUUUUGUAUUUUUAGUAGAAAUGGGUUUUCACCAUGUUAGCCAGGCUCGUCUCAAAUUUCUAACCUUCAGUGAUCUGCCUACCUUGGCCUCCCAAAGAGCUGGGAUUACAGGAAUGAGCCACCGCACCUGGCCCCAUGUGACUUUAAUAUUUUACUGCAUAUCUUCCUCGGCAAAUAACUAAAUCCUGUCAUGUGGGAGGGAGUUUGGAAAUAGUGCUUAGGAACCACCCACUAUCUCAUUUGUGAAGUCCGUUGCCACUUGCGGGGGGCGCCAGGCAAUGACAUCAACAGACUUAUCUGGUUAUGUCUUUGAGCCUUGGAUCCUUGUAAUUGUUUUGCUUGAUAAAGCUAUCUUUUGUUAUAAAAGACUUUGCCAAAAAAAAGUCUUUGGCUUAAGGCAUUUAAAUAAUGCAAGCUUCAAAGUUAGUGAACAGAUUAUGAAAAAUGUCUGAAUAGUAAUUUGGAAGGCAAUUUGCACAUAUAUUUCUAUCUGGAAGAAUAAUAGUUUGUAAACGAAAUACAUCUUAGGCCAUAAUUAUAAGUGUCAGAACAUGAAAGGAUUGGUGAAUUGGAGAAACAGAAAUUAAAAAUAAAACUUAAAAAAAUAAGUCAGAAUAUCAUAAUGGUACAAAAUAAAUGAGACAAUAGAAACAUAGACAUUUCCCUAAUUCAUAAUGUAGUUAUUUGUUCUGGAGAUUUGUUCAUUAUUGUAAAAACUAGCUACAUUUAAUCGUUUUAAUUGUUGUUAUGAAAAUACUUUGCUUCAUUUAUUUUAAAUAUAUCCUACUAAAAAAAGAGUAUAUAUAAAAACACAUGUACAAUUUAGAACAUAACGUUAAAACAAACACUUACGUAUUUUCCAACCAGCAAAAGGAAAAGAACCUUAAUGGUGAUCUUGUGUAUUUGUGUCCAGAUGCGUUUUUCUCCCUUUACCUGGGGUAACAAUCAUUGCAUAUUUUGUGUUUAUCAAUUCUUUCCUUUAGAAAUGCUUAUCCAUUUGUGUAUUUAUGCCUAAACAAUAGAUGGUUUCAUUUCGCUUGUUUUGAGCUUUAUUAUAUUUGUUUGUAGUCACCAUGGAUGUAACCUUUUUCCACGCAAAAUUAGCUUUCUAAGAAUCAUCCAUGUUGGUGGAUAUAGCUCUGUGAUAUUCCAUCAUGUGAUACUGCAAGUUAUAACUCUAGUUAUAUAUCUAUUUUCCAAUCAAUGAAUAUUUACAUUGAUCCAAAUUUUCAUUAUUAUGCACAGUCUGGCAAGGAAGACUCAUAUAUGACUCCUGGUACAUGGGUACAAGGAUUCUAUAGGCUAUAUACCUAAUCGUGGAAUUGUUGAGUCUCAGAGUAUUCAAAUGUUCAACUUGACACAUUAUCAUGAAACUGUUCUCCAGAGUGGCUUUCCAAUUUACUCUUCCACCAAAAAUGUGUUCCUAUUGAUCUACAUCUUCUCUAGAACAUCUUAUUUUAGGUAAUUUAAUUUUUUCAUUGUUAUGAAAUGGUAUCUCACUGUCUUAUGCAUUUCUCUGGUUAAUAAUGAGAUUGGUCAUAAAUUCAUAUGUUCAUUGUGAAAUGUCUAUUCUUUUGUUGCCCAUUUCAUCUAUUGGGAUGGCUAUCUUCUAACCGAUUUUACAUAGUUCUAGUGGUUGUUUAUGCAUUCUGGAAACCGGUUCUUUAUUAAUCAUAGGUGUGGCAUUAUGGUUCACAUUGUUACUCUCUUGCUAUACUGUGAUGAACAGAAGUUUUUCAUUUUCAUGAAGUAGACUUAUCAACAUUUUCUUAUGUUUUAGAUGUUUAUUUAGAAACCCUUCUCUACAAACAUUCUAAUAUUUUCUUUUAAAAGUUUUGAAGUUUUGACUUUUACAUUUAAAUUAUUAAUCAAAUUAGAAUUAUCUUCCAUAUACAUGUGAGUCCUCAAUUCUUGCUCCAUUAAACAAUUUAUCCUUCCUCGCAUCAGUAUCUUCCCACCUUAAUUGCUAUUGGAUUAUAAUAACUCUUGAUAUUUGGUGUGCCAAAUUCCCCCAACAUAUUAAUCCUUUCGGAUAUUCUAUUCUCAGCCCUUUAUUUUUCCAUAUGAAACUCAGAAUCAUGAAGUUUAUUUAAAAUUCUGCUAGGAUUUUGAUAAAAAUUUCCAUAAAAAACUUUUCAGUUUGACAUUGUUAGGACUGAGUUUUCUUAUCCAUGAAUGUGAAAUAUCUGUGUUAUUUUAUCUGCAAAAUAAAGAUAAAGAAAUAUCUUUAUUAUUGUUUAAUGUUUUUAUGAAAAGUUCAUGAUUUUUUAUCUAGAGGUAUCACACAUCUUUUUUUAGAUAUAUUCUAGGAUACUUUUUAGUUUUGUUGCUUUUGUAAGUGUUGUCAUGUUGGGAGUCUCUGAGAACCUCCUCAAGCUUGAUGACCCACUAGAAGGACUCUCAGGACUUAGAAGUGGUUAUAUUGAUGGUCACAGUUUAUUAUAACAAAAAGACACAGAUAACAAUAAACAAAGAGAAAAGGCACAUGGGGUGAAGUUCAGGAGAAAUAAGGCACAAGCCUUCAGGUAUUCCCCUCCCAGGAGUAAAUAUGCUAACUGAAGCACACAAAAAAAGAAAAGAUAAAUGCAAAAAAGAGCAUAAAAUAUAUAUGACAUAGUUUUAAAAAUGUGUAACAUGCAUGUAAUUGAAGUAUCAGAAAGAAUGGAGACAAGGAAUAGGGGAAGAAGGAAUAUUUGAAGAGAUAAUAACCAAAAACUUUCUAAAACUAACCCACAAAAUCAAGAAAUUCUGAAGAAACUAGAAAAGAUACAUGCAAAAUAAAUCCCAUUUUGGCUCAUAGUGAACUCCUGAAAGCCAAGGACAAGGACCAAUUACUUAAAGCACCCAAAAAAAAACAACAUUGCUUUCAUAAUAGCAAUAAAAGACUAAUAACUGAAUUUUCUACACAAAUGAUGGAAGCUGGAAGAUAUAAAGAUCAUAAGGAUAUAUUCUAUUCCUGGAAUUGAUGUGCCUUGGUCAUAAUGUCUUUUUUAAAAUACAAAGUUGUAAUCAGGUUUCUAAAUAGUUUAAGAUUUUUGCAUCUAAUUGUUUGGAAAGUUCCCCCUUUUUUAUACUCAUAUCUGCAUUAGCUAUCAAGGCUAAAAAUGACUGCUUUAAAAGAGUUAAGGAAAGUUUCCUCUUUGUUAUACCUAUGAAAAAGUUUAUAUACAAUUAAAAUUUGAUGAUAACAUUUGUUAUAUUUUCUUAUAGAACUAUUUGUAUUUGGUGUUCUAUUUAUGAGGAGGCUUUUAAAAUAUUGAUUUGACUUCUUUAGUAGUUGUAGGGCACUGAAGUUUUCUGGUACUCUAACUGCAGCCCACGUAACUUAUCUUAUAUUCUCAUUAUCAUUUAGUUCUAAGUAUUUUUUUACUUUCUAUUAUAAAGUAUUCUUUGACCUAGGAGGUAUUUAGAAGUUUGCUUUUAAACUGUCAAAUGUAUGAAAUUGUCUUAAUUUUCCUUUUAUUACUAAUAGCUACAUUAUUUUCCUUCUUGUGAGAGAAGGUAGUCUGUGGUACUUUUGGAAAUAUUUAAAGACUUUUUGGCCUAGUAUGUGAUAAAUUUGUGAAAAUGUUCCUUGCAUGUCAAAAAGAAUUAUCCAGAAUUAUCCAAUAAUUGGAUAAAUGUUCUUAAUAUGUUUAUUAGGACAUUCAUGUUCAUUGUGUUUACAAUUUCUAUAACAUUGCUAGUUUUGAUCUGCUUUUCAUGUCAAUACCUGAGAUAGGUCUGUUUAAAUUUCUUACUAUAAUGGUAGAUUUGUUACAAUUUCAUUGUAGCCUGUACAUUUUUGCUUUAUAUAUGCUGAAUAAAUGUUAAUAUGUGCCCA
Homo sapiens (human) is the source of this 6046-nucleotide long non-coding RNA. RefSeq lists it as uncharacterized. The record is from RefSeq and is a predicted model, not a curated record. The transcript has 3 exons. NCBI's taxonomy places the organism in Eukaryota, Metazoa, Chordata, Mammalia, Primates, Hominidae.